GACGAACGCUGGCGGCGUGCUUAACACAUGCAAGUCGAACGGAAAGGCCCUGCUUUUGUGGGGUGCUCGAGUGGCGAACGGGUGAGUAACACGUGAGUAACCUGCCCCUGACUUUGGGAUAACUUCAGGAAACUGGGGCUAAUACCGGAUAGGAGCUCCUGCUGCAUGGUGGGGGUUGGAAAGUUUCGGCGGUUGGGGAUGGACUCGCGGCUUAUCAGCUUGUUGGUGGGGUAGUGGCUUACCAAGGCUUUGACGGGUAGCCGGCCUGAGAGGGUGACCGGCCACAUUGGGACUGAGAUACGGCCCAGACUCCUACGGGAGGCGGCAGUGGGGAAUAUUGCACAAUGGGCGGAAGCCUGAUGCAGCAACGCCGCGUGCGGGAUGACGGCCUUCGGGUUGUAAACCGCUUUCGCCUGUGACGAAGCGUGAGUGACGGUAAUGGGUAAAGAAGCACCGGCUAACUACGUG
Molecule: ribosomal RNA, 468 nt
Filed under: uncultured bacterium
Lineage: Bacteria
Description: partial 16S ribosomal RNA
Rfam family: Bacterial small subunit ribosomal RNA
Source: RNAcentral